UACGUAGGUGGCAAGCGUUGUCCGGAAUUAUUGGGCGUAAAGCGCGCGCAGGCGGUCCUUUAAGUCUGAUGUGAAAGCCCACGGCUCAACCGUGGAGGGUCAUUGGAAACUGGGGGACUUGAGUACAGAAGAGGAAAGCGGAAUUCCACGUGUAGCGGUGAAAUGCGUAGAGAUGUGGAGGAACACCAGUGGCGAAGGCGGCUUUCUGGUCUGUAACUGACGCUGAGGCGCGAAAGAGUGGGGAGCAAACAGG
RNAcentral lists this ribosomal RNA (253 nucleotides) under uncultured bacterium. RNAcentral's name for it is "partial 16S ribosomal RNA". It matches the Rfam family "Bacterial small subunit ribosomal RNA", at positions 524 to 776 of the family's 1533-position model. The record is from RNAcentral.